UGGGGAAUAUUGCACAAUGGAGGGAACUCUGAUGCAGCGACGCCGCGUGAACGAAGAAGGCUUUCGAGUCGUAAAGUUCUUUUAUAUGGGAAGAUAAUGACGGUACCAUAAGAAAAAGCCCCGGCUAACUACGUGCCAGCAGCCGCGGUAAUACGUAUGGGGCGAGCGUUGUCCGGAAUUAUUGGGCGUAAAGGGUACGUAGGCGGUCUAUUAAGUCAGGUGUGAAAGCGUGAGGCUUAACCUCAUUAAGCACUUGAAACUGAUAGACUUGAGUGAAGGAGAGGAAAGUGGAAUUCCUAGUGUAGCGGUGAAAUGCGUAGAUAUUAGGAGGAAUACCGGUGGCGAAGGCGACUUUCUGGACUUUUACUGACGCUCAGGUACGAAAGCGUGGGGAGCAAACAGG
Molecule: ribosomal RNA, 403 nt
Filed under: Verrucomicrobiota bacterium
Lineage: Bacteria; Pseudomonadati; Verrucomicrobiota
Description: Verrucomicrobia bacterium partial 16S ribosomal RNA
Rfam family: Bacterial small subunit ribosomal RNA
Source: RNAcentral